This 497-nucleotide ribosomal RNA is filed under the name uncultured bacterium. RNAcentral's name for it is "partial 16S ribosomal RNA". It matches the Rfam family "Bacterial small subunit ribosomal RNA", at positions 28 to 507 of the family's 1533-position model. The record is from RNAcentral.
GAUGAACGCUGGCGGCGUGCCUAAUACAUGCAAGUCGAGCGAACAGACGAGGAGCUUGCUCCUCUGACGUUAGCGGCGGACGGGUGAGUAACACGUGGAUAACCUACCUAUAAGACUGGGAUAACUUCGGGAAACCGGAGCUAAUACCGGAUAAUAUAUUGAACCGCAUGGUUCAAUAGUGAAAGACGGUUUUGCUGUCACUUAUAGAUGGAUCCGCGCCGCAUUAGCUAGUUGGUAAGGUAACGGCUUACCAAGGCAACGAUGCGUAGCCGACCUGAGAGGGUGAUCGGCCACACUGGAACUGAGACACGGUCCAGACUCCUACGGGAGGCAGCAGUAGGGAAUCUUCCGCAAAGGGCGAAAGCCUGACGGAGCAACGCCGCGUGAGUGAUGAAGGUCUUCGGAUCGUAAAACUCUGUUAUUAGGGAAGAACAAAUGUGUAAGUAACUAUGCACGUCUUGACGGUACCUAAUCAGAGAGCCACGGCUAACUACGUG